RNAcentral lists this ribosomal RNA (841 nucleotides) under Neokalmusia kunmingensis. RNAcentral describes it as "Neokalmusia sp. HJ-2018a partial large subunit ribosomal RNA". It matches the Rfam family "Eukaryotic large subunit ribosomal RNA", at positions 80 to 937 of the family's 3401-position model. The record is from RNAcentral. Lineage: Eukaryota; Fungi; Ascomycota; Dothideomycetes; Pleosporales; Didymosphaeriaceae.
CUAGUAACGGCGAGUGAAGCGGCUACAGCUCAAAUUUGAAAUCUGGCUCCCUCUGGGGGUCCGAGUUGUAAUUUGCAGAGGAUGCUUUGGCAUUGGCGGCGGUCUAAGUUCCCUGGAACAGGACAUCGCAGAGGGUGAGAAUCCCGUACGUGGGCGCCUGCCUUUGCCGUGUAAAGCUCCUUCGACGAGUCGAGUUGUUUGGGAAUGCAGCUCUAAAUGGGAGGUAAAUUUCUCCUAAAGCUAAAUACCGGCCAGAGACCGAUAGCGCACAAGUAGAGUGAUCGAAAGAUGAAAAGUACUUUGGAAAGAGAGUAAAAUAGCACGUGAAAUUGUUGAAAGGGAAGCGCUUGCAGCCAGACUUGCCCGCAGUUGCUCACCCAGGCUCCCGCCUGGGGCACUCUUCUGCGGGCAGGCCAGCAUCAGUUUGGGCGGUCGGAUAAAGGCCUCUGUCACGUACCACCCCUCGGGGUGGCCUUAUAGGGGAGGCGCAAUGCGACCAGCCCGGACUGAGGUCCGCGCAUCUGCUAGGAUGCUGGCGUAAUGGCUGUAAGCGGCCCGUCUUGAAACACGGACCAAGGAGUCUAACAUCUAUGCGAGUGUUUGGGUGUCAAGCCCGGGCGCGCAAUGAAAGUGAACGGAGGUGGGAACCCCUCGGGGCGCACCAUCGACCGAUCCUGAUGUCUUCGGAUGGAUUUGAGUAAGAGCAUAGCUGUUGGGACCCGAAAGAUGGUGAACUAUGCUUGAAUAGGGUGAAGCCAGAGGAAACUCUGGUGGAGGCUCGCAGCGGUUCUGACGUGCAAAUCGAUCGUCAAAUUUGGGCAUAGGGGCGAAAGACUAAUCG